RNAcentral lists this ribosomal RNA (496 nucleotides) under uncultured bacterium. RNAcentral describes it as "partial 16S ribosomal RNA". It matches the Rfam family "Bacterial small subunit ribosomal RNA", at positions 28 to 506 of the family's 1533-position model. The record is from RNAcentral.
GAUGAACGCUGGCGGCGUGCCUAAUACAUGCAAGUCGAGCGAACGGACGAGAAGCUUGCUUUUCUGAUGUUAGCGGCGGACGGGUGAGUAACACGUGGAUAACCUACCUAUAAGACUGGGAUAACUUCGGGAAACCGGAGCUAAUACCGGAUAAUAUUUUGAACCGCAUGGUUCAAAAGUGAAAGACGGUCUUGCUGUCACUUAUAGAUGGAUCCGCGCUGCAUUAGCUAGUUGGUAGGGUAACGGCUUACCAAGGCAACGAUGCAUAGCCGACCUGAGAGGGUGAUCGGCCACACUGGAACUGAGACACGGUCCAGACUCCUACGGGAGGCAGCAGUAGGGAAUCUUCCGCAAUGGGCGAAAGCCUGACGGAGCAACGCCGCGUGAGUGAUGAAGGUCUUCGGAUCGUAAAACUCUGUUAUUAGGGAAGAACAUAUGUGUAAGUAACUGUGCACAUCUUGACGGUACCUAAUCAGAAAGCCACGGCUAACUACGU